RNAcentral lists this ribosomal RNA (1479 nucleotides) under Saccharum spontaneum (wild sugarcane). RNAcentral describes it as "bacterial SSU rRNA". It matches the Rfam family "Bacterial small subunit ribosomal RNA". Lineage: Eukaryota; Viridiplantae; Streptophyta; Magnoliopsida; Poales; Poaceae. The record is from RNAcentral.
GGAGUUCGAUCCCUGGCUCAAGAUGAACGCUGGCGGCAUGCUUAACACAGGCAAUCGACGGGAAUUGUGUUGUUUUCCAUGGCGACGGGUGAUAAACUCGUAAGACCUGCCCUUGGGUAGUGGAACCACACCUGGGACACGGUUGCUAAUACCCCUAGGCUGAGGAGCAAAAGGAGAAAUCGCCCAAGAGGGGCUCGCGUCUGUUAGCUAGGUGGUGAGGGGCAAUAGCUUACCAAGCGAAUGAUCAGUACUGGUCGAGAGGAUGAUCAGCACACUGGACUUGAUACAACGGCCCAGGAAACUGCCUACGGGAGGCAAGCAUUGGGGAAUUUUCCGCACUGGGCGAAAUCCUGACGGAGCCAUGCCGCGUGUAGGUUGGAAGGCCUACUGGUCGUCAACUUCUUUUCUCGGCGAAGAAACCAUACGGUAUCUGAGGAUAAGCAUCGGCUAACUCUGUGCCAGCAGCCGCGGUAAGACAUAGGGAGCAACGUUAUCCGGAAUGAUUGGGCGUCAAGCGUCCUGUAGGUGGCUGUUCAAGUCGCCGUCAAAUCCCAGGGCUCAACCCUGGACAGGCGGGUGGCAACUACCAGCUGAGUACGGUAGGGCAAGGGAUGUCCGGUGGGGCGUGGAAAUUCAUUGGAGAUCGGAAAGAACACCAACGGGCGAAGCAUCUUCUGUGCCCGACACUGACACUGAGAGACGACAGCUAUGGAGCAAAUGGGAUUAGAGACCCCCAGUAAGUCCUUACCGAAACCGAUGGAACAGGUAGCUGUGCGACUCACCCGUCAGUGCUGUAGCUAACGCUUUAAGUAGCCCUCCUGGGGAGUAGCGUUCGCAAGAAUGAAACUCAAAGGAAUUGACGGGGGCCCGCACCAUCGGUGAGCAUGUGGUUUAAAUCGAGCAAGCGAAGCAACCUUCCAGGCUUUGAACAUGCCUCGCAUCCCCUUGAAAGAGAGGGGUGGCCCUCGGAACCGCGGACACAGUGGUGCAUGGCUGUCUUCCGCUCCGUGCCGUAAGGUGUUGGGUUAAGUCUCGCAACUAGCGCAACCCUCGUUGUUUGUUGCCACUAUGAGGUUUGGAACCCUGGACAGACGCGCCGGUGUUAAGCCGGAGGAAGGAGAGAUAGCCAAUUCAUCAUGGCCCUUAAUGCCCUGGCGACACACGUGCUACAAUUGGGCUGGGACAAAGGUCGCGAUCUCGCUAGUGUGGAGCCUUUAACUCCAAAAACCCUCCUCAGUUCGGAUUGCAGGCUGCAACUCGCCUGCAUGAGCAGGAACUCGCUAGUAAUCGCCGGUCCAGCCUACGGCGGUGACUCGUUUCCCGGGCCUUGUCCCCACCGCCCGUCACACUAUAUAGGAAGCUUGGCCAGUUUGAAGUCAUUAUACCCUCCCCGUAAGGAGGGGGAUGACCAAGGCUAAAGGCUAGGCUGCGACUGGCAGUGGCGUCGUAACACGGUAGCCGUACUGGCAGGUGCGGCUG